RNAcentral lists this ribosomal RNA (551 nucleotides) under uncultured bacterium. RNAcentral describes it as "bacterial SSU rRNA". It matches the Rfam family "Bacterial small subunit ribosomal RNA", at positions 1 to 604 of the family's 1533-position model. The record is from RNAcentral.
UCGGGUUUGAUCCUGGCUCAGAACGAACGCUGGCGGCAUGCCUAACACAUGCAGGUCGAACGAACCCUUCGGGGUUAGUGGCGCACGGGUGCGUAACGCGUGGGAAUCUGCCCUUUGCUUCGGAAUAACAGUUAGAAAUGACUGCUAAUACCGGAUGAUGUCUUCGGACCAAAGAUUUAUCGGCAAAGGAUGAGCCCGCGUAGGAUUAGGUAGUUGGUGGGGUAAAGGCCUACCAAGCCGACGAUCCUUAGCUGGUCUGAGAGGAUGAUCAGCCACACUGGGACUGAGACACGGCCCAGACUCCUACGGGAGGCAGCAGUGGGGAAUAUUGGACAAUGGACGCAAGUCUGAUCCAGCAAUGCCGCAUGAGUGAUGAAGGCCUUAGGGUUGUAAAGCUCUUUUACCAGGGAUGAUAAUGACAGUACCUGGAGAAUAAGCUCCGGCUAACUCCGUGCCAGCAGCCGCGGUAAUACGGAGGGAGCUAGCGUUGUUCGGAAUUACUGGGCGUAAAGCGCACGUAGGCGGUUACUCAAGUCAGAGGUGAAAGCCCC